CCCAAAACGAUGAUGCCACUGCUCAUUACCUGCGGAGCCAGACCGGUGUGUGCCUGCGCCUCCGGAAGACUGCGCUGAAUGAAUGAGCCUCCACCUUGGUCCGGGGCGGGGACGAGGGUGGGAUCCAUUUUACACCCGGAUGAACCGCCAGGGAUUGUGGGCGGGCGCCUGGCUCAAGGAUACAACCCGGGUGAAUGGCGCAGUUCUGGAUUCAGCAGAACGAAGGAGUCAAGGCUGGAGCCCCAGGCCGCAGGCCAGAGGCGGAGCUCUCGGCACUUGUUCGGGCCCCUCCUGCCCUUCCUAGGGUGCAGAAGCAGCAGCCCAGACCCAGGCCUCCUCUGCCCGAGAGAACAGUCCAGUGAGAGCGACGAGGCCUGGGGGAGAACGUGGGAUUCAAACGGAGUCUUGAAGGGAGUCACCUAGUUGUCUCAGGCUCCUCAUCUGUGAAAUGGGGACAAGGGGGGGCCUGGCCUCCCAGGCAGCCUUGUUCCGAGGAUCCGGUGCCGGCACAGGGUAGCGGCUCCCUCUUGCCACUGGCCGGAUGCCCAAGGAGGUAGAGGUGCCGCCCUCUGUGACUCCCCCAACUUUCUCCAGGCUGUACCUGCCAUGGCCUCAUGUCUCUCUGUCUCUGUCUCUGUCUCUGUCUCUCUGUCUCUCCCCCCCCCCUUUUACCUCGACAACUGAUACUGAUAAACUUUAUGAAAAAUAGGGACCAGAUUCCCAAUUUUACUUCCUAC
Molecule: long non-coding RNA, 737 nt
Filed under: Monodelphis domestica (gray short-tailed opossum)
Lineage: Eukaryota; Metazoa; Chordata; Mammalia; Didelphimorphia; Didelphidae
Description: lncRNA (ENSMODG00000050490.1)
Source: RNAcentral